UUGAGAGGCACUGAAAAGCAAGACCUGACAUGGCUGCCCAUAGAUAUAUUUCACUCCUUAGUGAUGAAGCCUUUCAUAGGACUCUUUUAAUAUAGGAAUAUUUGGAGAGCUCAUGAUAUGGCAAGUGGGGGAUCCCUGAGUAGGACUGGGCAAAGGCGGGAUCUACAGAGCUAGUUGGUCAUGAUAAAUCUUGCAGUCCCCACCGGCAGACAGAAGAUUUGGCCAUGGGAAGCCUGCCGCUGUGUCACUCGAGAGCCACACUCAGCUUUGGUGUUUUUGACUUGGGAAGGAAGAAUAAAUCAGCAUGGGUUUUCUAGUCUCCCCCGCCUUUCUGAUCUAGAAACAGAGGGUACAUGUUUAACUACAGCAGCAAAGGAGAAAAGACAACAGGAGGAACACCACGGAUGAAGAAAAAUCAUUACCUGCACCAGCUGCUUUCUAAAGGUUUAAUUGCAAAGGCAGAGUAGGGUAGAUGCAGCAUCACAGCCUAAACAGGGAAGCGGUAA
Molecule: long non-coding RNA, 506 nt
Organism: Mauremys reevesii (Reeves's turtle)
Lineage: Eukaryota; Metazoa; Chordata; Testudines; Geoemydidae
Exons: 3
Source: RefSeq, a predicted model, not a curated record